Molecule: ribosomal RNA, 498 nt
Filed under: uncultured bacterium
Lineage: Bacteria
Description: partial 16S ribosomal RNA
Rfam family: Bacterial small subunit ribosomal RNA
Source: RNAcentral
AUUGAACGCUGGCGGCAUGCUUUACACAUGCAAGUCGAACGGUAACAGGCCGCAAGGUGCUGACGAGUGGCGAACGGGUGAGUAAUGCAUCGGAACGUGCCCAGUCGUGGGGGAUAACGCAGCGAAAGCUGUGCUAAUACCGCAUACGAUCUAUGGAUGAAAGCGGGGGACCGUAAGGCCUCGCGCGAUUGUAGCGGCCGAUGUCAGAUUAGCUAGUUGGUGGGGUAAAGGCCCACCAAGGCGACGAUCUGUAGCUGGUCUGGGAGGACGACCAGCCACACUGGGACUGAGACACGGCCCAGACUCCUACGGGAGGCAGCAGUGGGGAAUUUUGGACAAUGGGCGCAAGCCUGAUCCAGCAAUGCCGCGUGCAGGAAGAAGGCCUUCGGGUUGUAAACUGCUUUUGUACGGAACGAAACGGCCUGGGUUAAUACCCUGGGCUAAUGACGGUACCGUAAGAAUAAGCACCGGCUAACUACGUGCCAGCAGCCGCCGUAA